CGGCAUCAUCAAUCCUAAAUCGGAUCUUUUUCAAUUUGGGUGUGUGUUUUGAUCCUGAUUUUUUCCUCUUGAUAUUACCUUAGUCUUUUUCUUGAUACGCUGAUUAUUUGGAUUGUUUUGGUGAUUCGGAAACAAUUGGAAAUGCGAGCUUUUAAGGAAGAUGGAAUACAAUAAUAGUGUGGUUGAAUAUUUAGUCUGAUAUUUGUUUGGUGUCUUACUCAAGUUCUCUCUGCCAUCAUAUCGGAACCGAUAUUGAAGAUUAUAAGUGCUCUUGGUUGGUCGUGAAAGCUUUGGAACUUAGCAACGAGGAGUAAAAGAAAACACUAUAUGAGAACUAUGGGAAUCCUGACCCAGCGAAGGUCGCCAAAGUAAAGGCCCUUGACAAAGAACUCGAUAUUCAGGUUUAGAUUUGAUCUUAUGAAGUUAUUUAAAUUUCUCAAUAGAAUCUAUAAGUCGGCAUCAUCAAUCCUGAAUCGGAUCUUUCUUAAUUUGGGUGUGCGUUCCGAUCCUGAUUUUUCCUCUUCCUAAUUUUCUUUUAUUAUGGCUAUUUUGUUAUUUGAUUCGUAAGAAAAGUAUGUUCUUAGGUAGGGCGUGUUAAUGCUAAGUUUGUUAUUGCAAGCGGGCAAUAUAUGCUCUUGCAAUAUUUACAAUCAAUACUUAAGUGACCAAUUGGUCUUGAUCCGACUAGCUAUUACAGUAACUGUUCCAAUCAUUAUUUGUCAAUGUACCAGAUUUUUAUACUAAUAGCUUAACUAUAUAUCAGUUCAUGGUGGUUCAAAUAUAGUUUCACUGUAUUUGUUUGUUUCCUUCUGGAAUUUGCUUAUUUUUCAAGUUCAGGUGCUAAAUUUUGAUCGUUUGAAGAAGCGACCGAGCAUGAACGAUUGGGGUCACAGGAUAAUUUAGGCGUAUUAAUUGUGCUCUAGUAUUUUUCAAUGAGAAUUGAGGUAUUUUGAUUGGAUGCCUAAUUUUAACACCCCAAAUGGUGCAGCUGACGAAAAAAACAAGAGAGGAGACGCCCAAAAAAAGGAGGGAGAUACGAUAAAGAAAAAGUAUAUGCGCAUAAUGAGGAUGCGAAAUUUAUUCUACAAGGAGUCUGAAAGAUGUGGGUGAUGCCACGCUCUGUACAUGUGCAGAAUUCAGUCAGAUAUAUAAGGGAUGACUCAAAUAGGUUCAACCUUACAGUAGCAAGCCCAUUUCUAUUUCAGGUAUGGCAAUGAAAAUGAACAAGUUGAGGUGCAAGAUGAAUUAUAAUGCUCUCAAGUUUUCUUCCUAAGCUGAAGCAAAUGGCUCAUUCAUUGGCAUCAACAAUGAAACCACAUUGAAAGUUGCUGCAUUUAUGAUAUAAAUAGGUUUGCUCCAUUAAGGUCUUUUUUUAUGUGGCUUCACUGGAUUGUUUGAAAGUUGAGCUUUAAGCAAGAAGGUCAACCUUACAGGUUUCGUAUUUUAGUCGCGAUUCAAGAUGAACAUAUUUUUGUCAUCUAGGUUGAUCUUCUCUCACCAUCGCAGAUGUUACUUCAUUGGAUUUAUGAGACAUAACUUUUGUUUGUGGAGCGAUGCCAAAUAAAGCUUAUUAAUUUCGCAUUUUCAUAUAGCAUAUAAGUAUUUUGUCCUUUUUUUUUUGAAUUUACAGGAGAUAAGUCCUUGAGCAAAGGGGAAGAGAAUUGCUUCAUGUGUUGGCCCCUUGCUUCAUUGCUUUUGUUUUUGGUUUGGUACUUGCGUGGUGAGGCCCAAACUGGCGACUAAGGAAGCCACUGUUUAUAAACAAAUAUGAGAUGUAAAAAUAUAGUAGUUACUUUUUAGAAACCAAGUAGCACAUCCAUUGAAAAUAGCUUCAGCUAUUACAGUAUUUUGUAUUAAUAUUUGUUUUAUGUUAACAUCCUAAAGUUUGGCUGUUCAUGACCUGUUACUGGCAGAGUUUGGAAGAUAAUUUACCCGCAGCAACGCGCGGGCACUCUAACCUAUUUCAAUUACUAGUCCUCUUUCUCGCAAAUUCUGAAUGUCAUCUUUCCAAUUUCUUCCAUACUUUGUCUAUCUCAAAUUCACAUUUCCAUAAGUUUCAUUUUUCAUCCAAGAAGCCACAGCAAAGCGCGGGCUUGCUGACUAGUCAUGAACAAAAGAGGCGAAUCAAACAGAACGUUCUGUAGAAAUAAAACAACAUGAGGACU
Long non-coding RNA from Argentina anserina (silverweed cinquefoil), 2165 nucleotides. RefSeq lists it as uncharacterized. The record is from RefSeq and is a predicted model, not a curated record. Lineage: Eukaryota; Viridiplantae; Streptophyta; Magnoliopsida; Rosales; Rosaceae. The transcript is spliced from 5 exons.